AGGUCAAGCUAGUAAGGGCAAAGGGAGGAUGACUUGGCACCAGGAGCCGAAGAAGGACGUGGUAAGUCAUGAAAAGCUACGGGAGCCGCAAGCAGGCAAAGAUCCGUAGAUGUCCGAAUGGGGUCCCACUUGAAGUAAUAUUCAAGUAUCUGCUAGUGAAUAAAUAGCUAGUAGAGGGGAUACCAGGGGAACUGAAACAUCUAAGUACCCUGAGGAGUAGAAAGAAAAAUCGAUUCCCUAAGUAGUGGCGAGCGAAAAGGGAUAAGCCCAAACCGAAAGUUUACUUUCGGGGUUGAGGACAUAGCAAAAAAGGAGAGGUAUCGUAGUAGAAGAUGACUGGAAAGUCAGGCCAAAGAGGGUAAAAGCCCCGUAUACGAAACGAGAAGACUCUAAGCUAUGAUCCAGAGUACCACGGGACACGUGAAACCCUGUGGGAAGCAGGGGGACCACCCCCAAGGCUAAAUACUACCUGGUGACCGAUAGCGCAUAGUACCGUGAGGGAAAGGUGAAAAGAACCCCGGGGGGAGUGAAAUAGAACCUGAAACCCUUUGCUUACAAGUGUGGGAGCACGUUAAAGUGUGACCGCGUACUUUUUGUAGAACGGGCCAACGAGUUAUGAUAUGUAGCAAGGUUAAGGACUAAAGGUCCGGAGCCGAAGCGAAAGCGAGUCUUAAUAGGGCGAAAGUUGCAUGUCAUAGACCCGAAACCGAGCGACCUACCCAUGGGCAGGAUGAAGCGGAAGUAAAAUUUCGUGGAGGUCCGAACCAAUUGACGUUGAAAAGUCACUGGAUGACCUGUGGGUAGAGGUGAAAUUCCAAUCGAGCUCGGAGAUAGCUGGUUCUCGCCGAAAUAGCUUUAGGGCUAGCCUCGAUUAAAUGAGUUACGGAGGUAGAGCACUGAAUGACCCAGGCCUUCACCGGUUACCAAAGUCUAUCAAACUCCGAAUGCCGUAAACUUAAGAUCGGGAGUCAGACUACGAGUGAUAAGAUCCGUGGUCAAGAGGGAAAGAGCCCAGACCAUCAGCUAAGGUCCCAAAGUAUACGUUAAGUGGAAAAGGAUGUGGGAUUGCAUAGACAACCAGGAUGUUGGCUUAGAAGCGACCAUACAUUUAAAGAGUGCGUAAUAGCUCACUGGUCGAGUGAUCCUGCGCCGAAAAUGUCCGGGGCUCAAACGUAUCACCGAAGCUAUGGAUGUAGAAAUACAUGGUAGGCGAGCGUUCUAUGUGGGUAGAAGCUAUACCGGAAGGAGUAGUGGACUGCAUAGAAGUGAGAAUGUUGGCAUGAGUAGCGAGAGGCAGGUGAGAAUCCUGCCCGUCGAAAGCCUAAGGUUUCCUGAGGAAGGUUCGUCCGCUCAGGGUAAGUCGGGACCUAAGCCGAGGCCAAGUGGCGUAGGUGAUGGACAACAGGUUGAAAUUCCUGUACCACCAAGAAUCGUUUGAGAGAAGGGGGGACACAGGAGGAUAGGUCAAGCGCACCGUUGGUUGAGUGCGUCUAAGCAGGUAGGGAGAAAAGGCAGGCAAAUCCGCUUUUUCAUAGAUCCCGAGAUGUGAUGGGGAGCGAAAAAUAAGUAGCGAAGUGACUGAAUCCAAACUGUCGAGAAAAGCCUCUAUCGAGAUUUAAGGUGCCGUACCGCAAACCGACACAGGUAGGCGAGGAGAGAAUCCUAAGACGAACGGGAGAAGCAUUGUUAAGGAACUCGGCAAAAUGACCCCGUAACUUCGGGAGAAGGUCUUAAGUGCCGGGAUGUGUGAAGGCUUCGCGCCGUAAGCAUAACCCGGCCGCAGAGAAUAGGUCCAAGCGACUGUUUAGCAAAAACAUAGGUCUCUGCUAAGUCGAAAGACGACGUAUAGGGGCCGACGCCUGCCCGGUCUUUGGAAGGUUAAGGGGAAGUGUUAGGGUUAAGCUCGAAGCACAGAACUUAAGCCCCAGUAAACGGCGGCCGUAACUAUAACGGUCCUAAGGUAGCGAAAUUCCUUGUCGGGUAAGUUCCGACCCGCACGAAAGGCGUAACGAUUUGGACGUUUGUCUCAACAAUGCACCCGGUGAAAUUGUAAUACCAGUGAAGAUCUUUGGUUACCCGCGACAGGACGGAAAGACCCCGUGGAGCUUUACUGCAACUUGACAUUGGAUUUUGAUACUACAUGUACAGAAUAGGUGGGAGACUAAGAUACUAGGACGCCAGUCUUGGAGGAGUCGACGUUGGGAUACCACUCUUGUAUUAUUGAAGUUCUAACCAUGAGCCAUGAUCUGGUUUUGGGACACUGUCAGGUGGGCAGUUUGACUGGGGCGGUCGCCUCCUAAAGAGUAACGGAGGCGCUCAAAGUUACUCGGCAAAGACGGUCGGAAAUCGUGCGAAGAGUGUAAAGGCAGAAGGGAGCUUGAUUGCGAGACAAACAGGUCGAGCAAGGACGAAAGUCGGACUUAGUGAUCCGGCACCGAGUGGAAGGGCCAUCGCUCAACGGAUAAAAGCUACCCCGGGGAUAACAGGCUUAUCUCCCCCAAGAGUCCACAUCGACGGGGAGGUUUGGCACCUCGAUGUCGGCUCAUCACAUCCUGGGGUCAAGUAGGUCCCAAGGGUUGGUACAUUCGUUCGCCCAUUAAAGUGGUACGCGAGUUUGGGUUCAGAACGUCGUGAGACAGUUCGGUCCCUAUCCGUCGCGGGCGCAGGAAAUUUGAGAGGAGCUGUCCUUAGUACGAGAGGACCGGGAUGGACGUACCGCUGGUGCACCAGUUGUUCCGCCAGGAGCACAGCUGGGUAGCUAAGUACGGAAGGGAUAAGUGCUGAAGGCAUCUAAGCACGAAGCCCCCCUCAAGAUAAGAUUUCCCACCCGAAAGGGGUAAGACCCCAGAGAGACUAUCUGGUAGAUAGGUCGGAGGUGUAAGUGCAGUAAUGCAUUAAGCUGACCGAUACUAAUAGGUCGAGGGCUUGACCAAAA
RNAcentral lists this ribosomal RNA (2935 nucleotides) under Serpentinicella alkaliphila. Its description in RNAcentral is "23S ribosomal RNA". It matches the Rfam family "Bacterial large subunit ribosomal RNA". Lineage: Bacteria; Bacillati; Bacillota; Clostridia; Peptostreptococcales; Natronincolaceae. The record is from RNAcentral.